UUUGUUUUUAAAAGACCUUCUUACGAAGGUAUGCUUAAAGAGGGGCUUGCGCCACAUUAGUUAGUUGGUAGAGUAAAAGCCUACCAAGACGAUGAUGUGUAGCUGGACUGAGAGGUUGAACAGCCACAUUGGGACUGAGACACGGCCCAAACUCCUACGGGAGGCAGCAGUAGGGAAUUUUCGGCAAUGGAGGAAACUCUGACCGAGCAACGCCGCGUGAACGAUGAAGUAUUUCGGUAUGUAAAGUUCUUUUAUUGAAAAAGAAAAAGUAGUGGAAAAACUAUAUUGACGUUAUUCAAUGAAUAAGCCCCGGCUAACUAUGUGCCAGCAGCCGCGGUAAGACAUAGGGGGCGAGCGUUAUCCGGAAUUAUUGGGCGUAAAGGGUGCGUAGGCUGUUAGAUAAGUCUAUAAUUUAAUUUCAGUGCUUAACGCUGUCUUGUUAUAGAAACUGUCUUGACUAGAGUGAGAUAGAGGCAAGCGGAAUUCCAUGUGUAGCGGUAAAAUGUGUAAAUAUAUGGAGGAACACCAGAAGCGUAGGCGGCUUGCUGGGUCUUUACUGACGCUGAGGCACGAAAGCGUGGGUAGCAAACAGGAUUAGAUACCCUGGUAGUCCACGCCGUAAACGAUGAGUACUAAGUGUCGGGGUAAAACUCGGUACUGAAGUUAACACAUUAAGUACUCCGCCUGAGUAGUACGUACGCAAGUAUGAAACUUAAAGGAAUUGACGGGACUCCGCACAAGCGGUGGAUCAUGUUGUUUAAUUCGAAGAUACACGAAAAAUCUUACCAGGUCUUGACAUACUCUGCAAAGCUAUAGAAAUAUAGUGGAGGUUAUCAGGGAUACAGGUGGUGCAUGGUUGUCGUCAGUUCGUGUCGUGAGAUGUUAGGUUAAGUCCUAAAACGAACGCAACCCUUGUCGUUAAUUGCCAGCACAUAAUGGUGGGGACUUUAACGAGACUGCCAAUUAAACAUUGGAGGAAGGUGAGGAUUACGUCAAAUCAUCAUGCCCCUUAUGAUCUGGGCUACAAACGUGAUACAAUGGCUGUGACAAAGAGUAGCUGAAACGCGAGUUUUUAGCCAAUCUCAAAAAAGCAGUCUCAGUUCGGAUUGAAGUCUGUAACUCGACUUCAUGAAGUUGGAAUCGCUAGUAAUCGCGAAUCAGC
This 1162-nucleotide ribosomal RNA is filed under the name Brinjal little leaf phytoplasma. RNAcentral describes it as "bacterial SSU rRNA". It matches the Rfam family "Bacterial small subunit ribosomal RNA", at positions 194 to 1353 of the family's 1533-position model. Lineage: Bacteria; Bacillati; Mycoplasmatota; Mollicutes; Acholeplasmatales; Acholeplasmataceae. The record is from RNAcentral.